This is a non-coding RNA of Pelobates cultripes (western spadefoot toad), 99 nucleotides long. The record is from the annotation of a GenBank genome assembly. NCBI's taxonomy places the organism in Eukaryota, Metazoa, Chordata, Amphibia, Anura, Pelobatidae.
CAGGGGCAGCAUUUUGACUCUUGGGCUCCUCUUCAUCAUGCAAAAUUCUGCCCCGUGUAUUUGUGCAUGGUGAAGAGGGACCCAGGAGUCAUCUUGCAC